GACGAACGCUGGCGGCGUGCUUAACACAUGCAAGUCGAGCGGUAAGGCCCUUUCGGGGGUACACGAGCGGCGAACGGGUGAGUAACACGUGGGUGACCUGCCCUUAGCUCUGGGAUAAGCCUGGGAAACUGGGUCUAAUACCGGAUAUGACUCCAUGACGCAUGUUGUGGGGUGGAAAGCCUUGUGCGGCUAGGGAUGGGCCCGCGGCCUAUCAGCUUGUUGGUGGGGUGAUGGCCUACCAAGGCGACGACGGGUAGCCGGCCUGAGAGGGCGACCGGCCACACUGGGACUGAGACACGGCCCCAGACUCCUACGGGAGGCAGCAGUGGGGAAUCUUGCGCAAUGGGCGAAAGCCUGACGCAGCGACGCCGCGUGAGGGAUGACGGCCUGGUUGUAAC
Molecule: ribosomal RNA, 398 nt
Filed under: uncultured bacterium
Lineage: Bacteria
Description: bacterial SSU rRNA
Rfam family: Bacterial small subunit ribosomal RNA
Source: RNAcentral